RNAcentral lists this transfer RNA (72 nucleotides) under Lignipirellula cremea. Its description in RNAcentral is "Planctomycetes bacterium Pla85_3_4 tRNA-Trp". It matches the Rfam family "tRNA". Rfam says of the family: Transfer RNA (tRNA) molecules are approximately 80 nucleotides in length. Lineage: Bacteria; Pseudomonadati; Planctomycetota; Planctomycetia; Pirellulales; Pirellulaceae. The record is from RNAcentral.
ACGCCUCUGGUGUAAUGGCAGCAUGACUGAUUCCAAACCAGUUGGUCAGGGUUCAAAUCCUUGGGGGCGUGC